GCAUGUUCACAUGAUUAAAGGUAUUCCGGUAGACGAUGGGGAUGCGUUCCAUUAGAUAGUAGGCGGGGUAACGGCCCACCUAGUCUUCGAUGGAUAGGGGUUCUGAGAGGAAGCUCCCCCACAUUGGAACUGAGACACGGUCCAAACUCCUACGGGAGGCAGCAGUGAGGAAUAUUGGUCAAUGGGCGAGAGCCUGAACCAGCCAAGUAGCGUGAAGGAUGACUGCCCUAUGGGUUGUAAACUUCUUUUAUAAAGGAAUAAGGUCGGGUAUGCAUACCCGUUUGCAUGUACUUUAUGAAUAAGGAUCGGCUAACUCCGUGCCAGCAGCCGCGGUAAUACGGAGGAUCCGAGCGUUAUCCGGAUUUAUUGGGUUUAAAGGGAGCGUAGAUGGAUGUUUAAGUCAGUUGUGAAAGUUUGCGGCUCAACCGUAAAAUUGCAGUUGAUACUGGAUAUCUUGAGUGCAGUUGAGGCAGGCGGAAUUCGUGGUGUAGCGGUGAAAUGCUUAGAUAUCACGAAGAACUCCGAUUGCGAAGGCAGCCUGCUAAGCUGCAACUGACAUUGAGGCUCGAAAGUGUGGGUAUCACACAGGAUUGGAUACCCUGGUAGUCCACACGGUAAACGAUGAAUACUCGCUGUUUGCGAUAUACAGCAAGCGCCC
RNAcentral lists this ribosomal RNA (658 nucleotides) under uncultured bacterium. RNAcentral's name for it is "bacterial SSU rRNA". It matches the Rfam family "Bacterial small subunit ribosomal RNA", at positions 187 to 848 of the family's 1533-position model. The record is from RNAcentral.